ACAAUGGUACUCCUGUCCAGCCACAGCCCCGCCUGACCGCAGGAUCACGCAAUGGGGGCAGCUCGGAGAGAUCCUCGGAGGGGUGAGAUUCCCGUGG
The submitters of this non-coding RNA (97 nucleotides) gave its source as unclassified sequences. The record is from Rfam.